Molecule: ribosomal RNA, 451 nt
Filed under: Flavobacterium sp. IGS67
Lineage: Bacteria; Pseudomonadati; Bacteroidota; Flavobacteriia; Flavobacteriales; Flavobacteriaceae
Description: bacterial SSU rRNA
Rfam family: Bacterial small subunit ribosomal RNA
Source: RNAcentral
GGCUCAGGAUGAACGCUAGCGGCAGGCCUAAUACAUGCAAGUCGAACGAUAGAUAAGGGCUUGCUCUUAUCGAAAGUGGCGCACGGGUGCGUAACGCGUAUGCAACCUACCUUUAUCUGGGGGAUAGCCCGGAGAAAUCCGGAUUAAUACCGCAUAAAAUCACAGGAUUGCAUAAUCCAAUGAUCAAACAUUUAUGGGAUGAAGAUGGGCAUGCGUGUCAUUAGCUAGUUGGCGGGGUAACGGCCCACCAAGGCGACGAUGACUAGGGGAUCUGAGAGGAUGGCCCCCCACACUGGUACUGAGACACGGACCAGACUCCUACGGGAGGCAGCAGUAAGGAAUAUUGGUCAAUGGAGGCAACUCUGAACCAGCCAUGCCGCGUGCAGGAAGACUGCCCUAUGGGUUGUAAACUGCUUUUAUCCGGGAAUAAACCUUUCUACGUGUAGGAAGC